AUACCUUUCUCGGCCUUUUGGCUAAGAUCAAGUGUAGUAUCUGUUCUUAUCAGUUUAAUAUCUGAUAUGUGAAUCAAUGAUUCACACGAUAUUAACUCAAUUUUUUAAGGGGAGAGUUCAUCAAGGUAGCUUGCUACUUGGGCUCUCGUGUGUCGCCUAUGCGUUGCACUACUGCAUGGGCCUGGCACACCCCAC
Molecule: small nuclear RNA, 195 nt
Filed under: Solanum lycopersicum (tomato)
Lineage: Eukaryota; Viridiplantae; Streptophyta; Magnoliopsida; Solanales; Solanaceae
Description: U2 spliceosomal RNA
Rfam family: U2 spliceosomal RNA
About the family: U2 is a small nuclear RNA (snRNA) component of the spliceosome (involved in pre-mRNA splicing).
Source: Rfam by way of RNAcentral